Leucoraja erinaceus (little skate) is the source of this 3807-nucleotide long non-coding RNA. RefSeq lists it as uncharacterized. The transcript is spliced from 3 exons. NCBI's taxonomy places the organism in Eukaryota, Metazoa, Chordata, Chondrichthyes, Rajiformes, Rajidae. The record is from RefSeq and is a predicted model, not a curated record.
UACAUUCUGGGUUUUUUUUUUUUUAACCCUUCACAUCCGGAAAUAAGUAUGUAUUUGUAUGCAUUCUGUUGUUAUUUUUUAACCCUUCACGGGCACCAGCAUGGGCCUAUGGUACAUGCCACGCCAGCAGCACCUGGGACAGGGCUGCUUAGUAUGUGAGCAUGGGCUUAGGGGACAAGCCGCGCCAGCAGCGCCUGGGAUAGGGUGCUUAAUGUCUCCCUGUUGGUGGGGGAGACUAUCAUGGGUCAGUAUACUACUGACGCCAAAUCUGUCACAGCGCCGGUCUACGGCAGAGCCCAUGCCAGCAGCACCUAGUAAAGGGCUGCUUAAUGUGUGACAGCGCCAGCCUGUAGGAGAAGCCGUGCCAGCAGCGCCUGGGACAGGGCUGCUUCAUGUCUCCAUUUUGGAGGAGAGCAUGCCGGGUCAGUAUACUGCUGACGCCGAGUCUGAGGGUAUAGCUGCGGAGCAUACCCCAAGGGAUGAAGGACACGUGUCAGAGGUACCAUUUCCUGACAACAAAGUUGCCAUCCCAACAGAAUGUUCCAUCCUGGUAUAGGUCCAUUGGAAGGGCCGUAUCAGCGCAGGUAUCCUCUCUGAGGAGGGGAGUGCGAAAGGUCAGAUGUAACUGACUCCACAUUCUAAAGAUGUAGGUGGAACAUACUGGAGUACAUGAGUGCCGGCAGUGAACAGCGCUAUCAGGGGGAUAUGUGAGUCAGCCGCCAAAUCUUCUGUUCAGGUAAGGCCUAUUCAACAGGAAAAACCUGGUGGAUGAAGCAAAAGCUGUCGGACCAAUCAAGGCCAACGGCGGGCAGAGCUUCAUCAUUUCGGCGACAGCGCACCCCAUGCCUACAUCGGCAGUGGGCAGUUCACUGAAGCUGGUGGCAGCAUGACAGCUGGUCACAGGUUCCACGCACACUACCAGUCCUACUCAACAAGGUGGGUCUGGCACUUCCGAAACAUGGGUAAGUGGACCACUCACAAGUUGGUAAUAUUUACACUUGUUUGUACAGCACACACAGGAUAAAAGCAUUGUCAUCUGCUUAGAGGGCACAAUACUAGCAUUCCAAGCAAGUUUGGAAUUAGGGCCAGAAUUGUCGUUUUCAAGACAGGCUCGAAAAUCGGGCAGAGUUAUCGUGCGAAGCACCCAUGGAAUGAUGGCAGGAGUGGCCUGUUCAUUAUGAAAAAUGGAGAAUGUCGUUUAACUGUAGUAAUAACAGUAAAACAUUGCAAAAUGGGAUAAACUAUAUUCCCAGGUUAUUUAACUAAUUAUAAAAUCGGUGUUUGGACUCAGAGUUCGAAAACACUUGUUAUGUCUUGUCUGGAUGAUAUUCUAAUGCUGUAUUUUUGUUAAAAUCACUGGUUCAGCCUCAAACUAUAUUUGAGAAAUUGGGCUCAUCCAUCCAGCUAACUUUAAGUUGUUACCAAAUAGACUUGUUGGUCAUUGGGAUUUACCUUGAACUAUUGAUUAGUUAUGACUCCGCCUUAUGGCAUGAAAUUGGAGUUAAUAGAAACCUGUUAUAAAGCUGAAUUCUAUUCAUCUAGAGUAUUGGCAAUAUAGUAGCUGUGAUUCAGCUGUGCAAGCCGGGGAACUGACAUUGUGCAAAGUAGCAAUCUCUCAAAUGACAUGUGGGUGAUUGUUAACAGGCUUAUGCUAUGACCAGCUGAAGCUACUGAAGUCACAAUGAUGAACAAACAGUAUUCAGCAUUGCUCCAACUAAGUGCUCUAAGAUGGAAAAUUGCGAAUGUCAUCUCUGGUUGGAGGAGAUUUGCAUGAGUUGCCAAUUCUUCAGUUGUUGGUAUCAACUAGCUAUAGAUGCUAAACGCAUCCCAUGGGUAAAGGGCUAUUGAGCGAAUACAUAAUCUACAAGCCCAAUUUCAAGUUGAUACACUACGGUGGUGGCAGAUGAUAGUCACAUGGCAAUUAAGUAAAGUAUCCUGGAAUAUUUACUUAAUUCCUUGCCACUGGUGUAUCAUCAAGUUCAGGUUCAUGACAACACAUAAUAAGUGUUGAAUCACAAAGUAUUUACGAAAAUAUGGUUCAUGCCUUUUCACUGAUUGCAAAAAUACAUUCUCGCCCCAAGAACGAGGAAUGUUCUUUUAUGCCUUUCUCCAUUUUGCCUCAUCAAUCGGGUCUUGAAAUAAAGUCAGCAAGAUCUCGCUUUAGUUUUCGUACUGUCUGACUGGCUAUGCAAUCAUGCUUCCCGCUUCCGUUAAUAAUACAACCAUAUACGGUUAUUCUAAAAUCAAAAACUUUGUUAGUUCAAACUGUGGUUCAGGAAGCCAGCCUAAUAAAACAAUUAUUGGCUUACACAUUCUGAAUGGACUGCCUUACGGGUUGGAUUGUCACAUCAAUCCGUGGAUAUGCUCACUGCAGAGUGCAGGGAUAGCACCGAAAAAGCAGUACAUUUCCUAUCGAGGAGAUUGGAAGCGGUUUGUUUAAUGUUAAUGUUACAUUUAAUAUGGCACAGAUUACUGACGUCUUCCAGUUCAAGGUUAAAUGGUUUGUGACAAUAAUUCAGUUAUAGGGCCAUUAACUGUGCCCAACGUACCUUCCCAUCAUAUUGGCUGCAGCUUUCAACCCCGGAUAUCGAGUUUGUAAGAGAUAUCUUUAACACAAGUUCUCCCAGUCCAAGUAUAGGCAGUAUUGAAUAUGUACAGUGUGUUAACAAUACUUCACCAGGGGGCUCCAGCUACAUCCUUAGUCAUAUUUCGGCAUACCCCACGGACUCACGUCUAUGAGUACGGGCACGUUUGCUAUAUUUUAUCAAGGCCACGAGAACCCUAAGAGGUGAGUAAUCAGCAUUGUUUAUUAGCCACAAACAACCACACAAGAAAAGGUCGGUUCAGAUUAUUUCAAGGUGGCUGAAGAAGUUUCUGGUUUAUGCGGGUAUUAACACUACCAAUUUACAUCUCAUUCCACCAGGGCGGCAUCAAUGGUUGUUCCCAUCGACCAUCUCCUCGCGGCCGCAGGAUGGUCAAGGUAAUUAAUUUUUGAAUAUUUUUUUUACCAUAGGCUGAUUGCAGACCCAGGGCUAUUUGCCCAUUCUGUUUUAUGUUCAAUUUUUAGCCUCUCCUGAGAUAGACGGGUUGCUAUUGAUUGAUUUAUUAACAUAAACCAUUAAUACGUUUAAAUCAAUGUCAUGGCUAAUGCAUUGUUGAUUAUUCACUCAUCCUGAGUCAAUCGAUGCAGUUAGACACCGGGAUUUGAAUGUACAGCAUGAAAUCACAGAGCUUUGAACUCUUCACGGAAUCACUCACGUGACUCCGAAAUAAAAUAGUAAGAUUAAACUAGAACUUACCAGUUUGAAGUUUGAUUUUUAUUUUAUGAGGAUUGGUGAUUACAUGCCCUCCACUCCCAACUCUCUCUCACAAAGAUCAUCUGGUAGUUCUCAAGUUUCUGAUCUUACUAUGUUAUUUCAAUUAUUUUUACCUAUGAUUUCAUAUCACUGCUUUGAAGAUUGACACGCAUGUGAUCUGGCGGGGCUUCUUCACGUAAUCACCAACGUAACUCCUCAUAAAAUAAAGAUCAAACUUCAAACUGGAGUGUGCAGGAGGGAACUGCAGAUGGUGGAUCCGAAGAUAGACACAAAAAGCUCGAGUAACUCAGUGGAUCAGACAGCAUCUCUGGAGAAAAGGAAUAGGCUUAAUAUUUGGGCCUAUCUUCAGUUUGACGAUGAUCACAUAAUUUUCCAACACCUUCAAAUACUGGCUUGAACUGCUGCCCCUUUAAGUCCGCGUAUGACUUCAGUGAGUUCAUCCUCGUCACCAAUGUCAGACACUCACUUGGAUCUGAAUGUAAUAAACGUA